GAGCCUCAACAGAGUAGGAACUCAGCACACAGGAGAGAAAAAUGCAAGACAAAAUAAGACGAAGAGGGGCCAGUGCGCGGCUCAGUGAUGGACCCACCAAAGCCCGAGCACAGUCCUACAGCAAGACUCUAUUCCACAAGAGAUGACAGGGGGAAAGCUUUAUUGCUCCGAGUUUGUAUCGAUCGGGGCCCCUCUGAGGGGGGAGGCCGGAGGACGCGCUGAGCAGGCCCUUUCUCAACGACCGUGGCUCCAACAACCAACCCCCCCCCCCGCCUCUCCUCUCCUCUCCACCCCACCUCACCAGCAACCCCCCCCCCCCCCCUCCAAACCCUCCUCUUGCUCGCUAGCUCGCUCUGAAAUUCAAAUUCAAGGCUCUUAUUCUCAAAGGUUAGGAGACGGAGAGCACAGGAGAGCAAGAGCGGAGGAGAGACAGAGGGAUUGAAUGAAAGAGAGACAGAGGCGUCUGGCUUCUUCCCCCGACUGAAGCCCUGAAUGGAGCCAGGAUCUGAUAAGCAGGGCUCACAAACACAAACAAGGGAAUAAAUAGAGAAAUAAACACCAAGAGGAAUAUAUCAGCCCCACAUCCUUUUCCUGUCUUCCUCAUCUCAUUUUAUUUUUCACUGACUGUCUCCCCCCUCCAUACUGUAUCUCCAUUAUUUUUUCCAAGGUGAGAAUGAUUGUGU
Molecule: long non-coding RNA, 683 nt
Organism: Scophthalmus maximus (turbot)
Lineage: Eukaryota; Metazoa; Chordata; Actinopteri; Pleuronectiformes; Scophthalmidae
Exons: 3
Source: RefSeq, a predicted model, not a curated record